Molecule: long non-coding RNA, 6978 nt
Filed under: Olea europaea (common olive)
Lineage: Eukaryota; Viridiplantae; Streptophyta; Magnoliopsida; Lamiales; Oleaceae
Description: long non-coding RNA (OEUR_LNC006411)
Source: RNAcentral
UAGCAUUUGCAUAUUAGGCCGAUAGUUAGAAAAGUUGUCUUUGAUUUUCACAUUUAAAUAGGGGCUCUUUAUUUGCAAUUCUCGAUUUGUAAUAUGUAUUCCCUUGUGAUUUGAUUAAAUUUUUAAAUUUCCAAUGUGUCAAUAUCUGUUUGUUUGGUGUGCUAGCUAAGAUUUACGUAUUGUUGAAUGAGAUUGUAUUGUUUCCAUUUUCUGCUUGAUGUUUAUUAUGUUCUGGGUAUCACUAUUAGGUAGAAGCCAUUAUCCACCUGCAUUGUUUCUCUAUUUUAAUAAAUUAUUCAUACUACAUUAUUUCUUUAUUUUUACCUUUAUUAAGUCCUGCCUGCACUGAAAUAAUUUUCCAGCUCUGCCCUGCAUGUACAUGAAUCAUUCUCGUUAUAUUUAUUAAUGAAGUUACAUAGUAAUGGUUUGAAGGGGACAGGUGAAUCUUGAAGUAACAUUGUUCCAUGAAAUGCCUCAGUAAAGCAAUAAAAAAUUACGGCAUUGUUUAUUUAGCUUGCUGGUGGAGAAUUCUACAUGGCAUGGCUAAUCAUCAUCAUAUCGUUAAUUGUACUCUGGGUCGCUUCUCUUUGCAAAUUUUUUUGUGGAUCCUUCCAUGACGCCAAAGCUGCAUUCUUAGAUGAUGGUAAUGAAUUAUGUUUGUGCAUAUCUGUGUAAAUACGGAUAUGAUACUUUGUCUUUAAAUAAGUUUUUUCAAGUUUAAUAUGUGUAUUUGUGCUUCCAGGAAGAGUUUUUGGGAGAAACGUCUUACUGGUUAUUGCGCAUCCUGAUGAUGAGUCCAUGUAUGUUUGAAUUCCAAAAUUUUAUGUUUUACUCUGGUUUGCAUUAAUGAUAGAACUUCUCUGCCUGGUGUAUGAAUAUCAAAUACCUACUUUAUUUUAUUAAGUUAUUUAUUUGUUUCUUGGGAUUUGUACUUUGCUGCAGUGGUGAAUUCUCAUUAAAACAUUGAAAUGUUAGUGCCUUAAUAUAUGAAUUAAUUUGCAAAAGACUUGGUAAUUUGAACCUUCAAGAAGAAGUAGUUCUCUAUCAGUGAGACAAGGAAAAAGCAUUCACGUAAUUGACCCCGAUGAAUGGCUUAGUUGCUCUCAUAGUAUGACAAAGCAUGUUUUCUAGGGUUACUUACUAUGUUAAUUUUGUGCUAAAAGAAAGAAAAUAGCUCCUGGCCGAUAUCACGGUGGGCAUUGUUGACAUCAUUUGCAUGGUAUGGAAAAUCAGAAUCUAAAUAGUAAAGAGUCAAAUAUGUUCCAAUUUAGACUAAGAAAUAUCUUGAAAAGAGCUUGUACUGUUCAGAAAAUCAUUCAUUGUAUCGUAGUUUCUUGAGUCACUUAUUGCCCAAUGACAUCAUAUAUAUUGGAUUUAUUUGUAAAACCUUCUGUUGGAUUCUGCAGGUUCUUUACUCCAACCAUUAAUUACCUAACUUUGAGGGGACAUGAUCUUUACAUACUAUGCUUGUCAACUGGUAAUACUGCUGUAAGUUCAUGAAUUUUUCUUCCAUGUAUCCUAGGACUUCUCUUCUCAUCAUAUUAGACACUUUUGUAAUAGGUCUAUAGAAUCGACCUGUAUUGAAAUUUUCAAACUUCAUUGCAUUCAGAAAACCUGAGCGUAUGAUCUUGUUCAUGGAUACUAUCCAGUUAAUCAUCAUAUGACAUAAAAUGAAUAUGUUAAGAUUUGAAAUUUUUUAUGAUGAGAUCUGAUUUGAAAUGACUGGUACUUUCAUAUUGCUUAUCAAGUAAUCUCCAUGGCCUUUCCUGCUGAUCUUUACGGGUAGCGCGUUUAGUGAAAAGCCUAUUGAAUUUAUGGAGGAAGUAGUUGUAAGCUAUAUCUGAGCAUGUGAAUCAUUUGUAAAAUCAAUUGCUUCCUUGAAUGGAGAUCAUCAAAGUUGUCGACUUAACUUCUUUUGAGGUUCAUUAUCUAAAGGUCUCCAUUGAGGUCAAAACAAAAAAUUCUAUUGGAUGCAACAAAGUGUAUUUUAAGGGUUAUCAUCAUCAUCAUCAUCAUCAUAUCAUAUAAGAGAAGAUCAACAUUGUCUAACAACACUUGAUCUGCUAAACUAUAUUUUGUGGGCCAUUACUUUAAGUUGAUUAGGAUAAAUUUCCUGCUGCUGAAAAUAUAUGGAAAUUCAAUUUUUAUUUAUUUUUUAUUAUAUUACUUAUUUCAACUGAGAUCUUGUUUAUUACCUUAAGUGUUUUUUCUUUUUCUUUUUUUCCUUUUCUUUUUCUUGAAGGUGACGCAGAUGGGAUGGGUAGCAUUAGAAAAGAAGAACUCUUUCUGGCCUCCGCAAUACUCAAGGUGAUGUUUUGUAAGCUAGUGGCCUUAGUCUGUAAAAUUUGCACGUUUUCUACUUAUGGUGCUUGGGUUUGAAGGGUCUGCCUUAUUAUUUUUUACUGACUGCUGUCUCCUGUAAAAACUUUACCUAGUAUUGGUUGUUUCUCUCAUUUAUUUUAUUUUGUUUGUACAGAUUCCUCACCAGCAAGUGAAGAUUCUGGACCAUCCAGAUUUGCAGGUUCUUUCUGAAGCAUCACAAAAAUUUGAUUCAUAUUUGUACUUUUCACACUGUAGAUUAUAUGGAGGUACUUAUUUCAUGUGGCUCUUGUGAUUAGGAUGGUUUUGGUAAAGUAUGGGAUUGGAAUCUAAUAGCAGGAUUUGUUGAGGACGAAAUCUGUACCCGUGCUAUUGACUCAGUAAGAACUGGUUUGAGUGAUCCAAAUUACUACUAGCUUUUUCAUCCAUUUGGUUAUUCUAGCCACUUUUAGGCCUUUCAUGUCCUGCUUUCAUAACGGAUUUCUUAUGUUUCUAUCUUGAAAUACUUAAUCUGGCAAUACAUAAUUGCAGUUUAAUUUUUUUCCAGAUCAUUACAUUUGAUCACUAUGGUGUCUCUGGUCACUGUAACCAUCGUGAUGUGGGUCGAGGUGUACAGUAAGUUCUCAUCUGUCAUUGUCUUUUGUCAUGUUUGUGUUUAGCUAGGGAUUGACGUCUCAUUUUUCUGAUUUGCUACUUUAGUACUCAUUUAAGUUCUUGAAGUCUAUUUUUCUGUUCUUUACUUGCUACCUCUUCUCUGUUUUAUGUGGACUUAUGAUCAAUAUGGUUCUAUUGUAUUUUACGUAGUUCAAUUAUGUAGUGGUUCCUAACACCUGAUGCAUAUGAAAUUAUUUGUAAUGGUUGCUGGUAACAUCAAACUAAGAAUUAAUUAGGUUCUUUCUUGUGCAUAAUGCAGAAAGCUGUUGCAUGAUUUUUCAGAAAGACCUCUGGAAGCCUGGGAGCUUGUAAGCCAUUCUUUGUCUCACUCUGUCUACAUUCUGUGUUCAGCUGUUUACAAAUUUGAUGACUGUCAAUAUAGAGUGCAGAAUAUGAAGUUCUCCAUUGGGAGGGGGAAACCUAAACGUGUGACUUCCCGUUUUACAUUUUUUUUUAUAAUUUUAAACCUAAACACGUUACUUCCCAUUUUACAUUUUUUUUUUUUUUUUUAUAAUUUUAAGCUCCUAAACCAUGGUUGUUAUUUUAAUCAUUUUCAGGUGAGUAAGAGCAUAUUCCGCAAGUACAGUGGACCAGUUGAUAUCUGGUUAUCCAAGUUAUUUGCCUUGUUUUUUGAUAGUAGACAUUUACAAUGCUUGCUCAAUGAAGAUCCCAGUAAGACUUAUGCUGCAAUGGCUCAGCACAGAAGCCAAUGGAUUUGGUUUGUAUUCUCGAAAACUUUUAACUUGUAUCUAGAUUACUAACAUAAGCAAGAUUCAUGGUAAAGGUUUCAUGACAUCCUCAUUUUAAAUUUUGGGAGUAGGGUGGUCUUGGUGGGGUGGAAAGAUGGGCUUAGGUGAGGUUAGGGCUGAAAAGAGUUAGAAAGAGUAGUAGACUGAUAACGUUUGUUACUGGUUUGAAAUACAUUGUAAUAUCUUCUCAGUUGUCGAUUCUUAUUGCAGGUUUCGAAAGCUUUUUGUGUCGUUUUCUAGUUAUACUUAUGUCAACACGCUUAAGAGGAUUCACUGAAUAGGUGAUUAUAAGGUUGCAGACCUGUCUAAACAUUGAAGUACCUCCCAGUUGCUACCCACGUUGCUGAAGGUUAUCUUUCAAGAUAAUAAGUUAUAUAAAUCUGGAGAUGGUCCUAAAGUUUGUUCAGUUUGUAUUGAUGUACAUUUGACAGCUUUGACAUGCAUUUCUACACCAUUAUAGUUUAGAAUAGGAUAUGUCGGAUUAGAGAGUGAUUUGAUCUCUAAAGACGAAGCUUUUGUUAUAACUCGACUUCAUUUCUUUAAAUUGAAUUCGUUCUUUCAUAUGCUAUACUCGAUGUAACAUUUGAUCUUUUACUGUACUUAUCCGUUUAGUUUCGCCUGGCGUUACUGUAGGUUACACACCAAGUUACAUUUCAUCUUCAAUUAGCAUGUGAGUUUAUAAAUGGAGACGAGUUCUUCUGUAGAUACUGCUAGUAAGUGCAGAUUUAUAUUUCAUACAAAAGUUUUACUUUAUACAUGCAUAGACCCUUGAUCAGUUUUUCAACCACUCUAUUUUUUAAGAAGUACUAGCAACUUUUGUUUAAAUUAAGUUAAAAACAUUCAUUACAAAAGGUUUUUGCAUCAGUAAAAGUCACUACAGUCUACAGCAAAAGGUCAUUGCUUCAGUGCUCCUCCUUGAGCAUUUUGUUGGAUACUCUAAGCAUUGAUAUUAGAUGUUCAAAUCUGACUUUAAAAAGAGCUUUUGUGAAGAUACUUGCAAUUUGUCUCUAAAUUGCGAUAUUAAAGACUGAUUUCUUCAUUUUUCUCAACCUACCCUCACUUGCAUGAAACUUGAUCUUUAUGUGCUUUCUUUUCCAUGACGAACUGGAUUCUUUGACAUAGUAAUAACAGACUUGUUGUCACAAUAAGUUUCAGUAGCCUUUUCUAGAUUAAAUUCCAAAUCACCAAAAAAAAAAAAAAAAAAAAAAAAAAAAUUGAGCUAAAUAGCUUGAUUUGCAGUUGCUGCUCUUGCUAUAUAUUCUGCUUCGACAGUAGAUUGCUCAACAACAACUUGCUCUCUCGAAUUCCAUGAAAAUAUGCCUGAGCUGAAAGAAAAAUAGUAGCUUGACAAGCUCUUCAUAUCAUCCACACUACCAUCCUAAUCAUUAACAGAAUAGCCUCUCAAACAGCUAUCUACAGAUUUUUGAAACCACACUCCAAAACCAAUAGUUCUUUUUAAGUACCUCAAGACCUGUUUUGCUGUUUUGAAAUGGAUAUAACUUGAAGAAUGCAUGAACCUUGAAACAUGACUCAUAAACAAAGUUGAGUGAUCAUUGGAAUGUUUGGCAAUGGUGCGUUUGAUUGCUAAUUUUUUCCAUGAAAAAUGUGUUUUUCGCUCAAAUUCCUAUUUUUGUUCUGUUUGAUUGAUAUUUUUUUCAUAAAAAACAUUUCCUACUUUUGAUCACAUGACCAUAUUUUCUUCAAAAUUAAGAAAAAUAUUUUUUUUAGGAGGUAGGAAUUUAUUUUCCAAGUAAUUCACUAUCUUUCUCUCUCUCUUUCUCUCAUCUAUCAACUCUCUCUUAUCCACCUACUAAUAAAAAUCAGACAAGUAUAAUAUUUUUUAGGUUGAAAAUUAAAUCAAUCAAACACAUUUAAUUGACAAUUUCCAUGCAAAUAAGUUCUAAGUAAUUGAAUUAUAUAGAAUUUAUUUUCUUUUCAUAUUUACAAUCAAACGCAACCUAAAGUUCGAUGAGUAACCGGUGAUAUAGUUCAAAGUUUAGUGGCAAUUGAAACAUUUAACACAAUCCAAUUAUCUCCGAAUUGAAUUCAAUCCAGAUAUCUCUCAAAAUUGAAGGCAUCUUCGUCCCCAAAUCAAUCCCUCUUCUUCUUUGUUCUUUUCCAAAUCAAUCUCAAACAAUCCAGCCGGGAACAGGGCAGGCUAGCCAUUUUUAUUUGCUAGGAGUAAGGUCCAUGGAGCAAGUAGGAAUGAGGGGUGGCUCAAUUUUUAUCUUCCAAAUGUGUUUCUGUUUAUUCUCUUUAAGUAUUUACAGCUUAUCCGUUUCUCACUUUUUGCUGAUUUUACGUUUUUAUUUCUGCAUACGUUAUGACCGCUUACAAUAAAAUGCAUGGCUUUUCAAGAAACCAGCUGGGUUAUAGUAUUCUUUUUGGGGUUUGGUUAGUGAAAAGCUGCUGACUUAGAAUAGCAUGUGGUAUAUUCUAAAUUUCUUCUGUAAAUUUUUUUUCUUCCUUCUCAAUUUUUUUAUCAAAACUGUAGAAGUGACAGAUUUUUUCUAUUCUCUGAUUGAAUUACCACAAAUCUCCUUGCUUUUAUUUCAUUGUUAUUACUUAUAAUGCGAAUUUUCAUUUUAAUAUUUAGUCAAAGCAGAAAUAAAAGGCCAACAUUUAUGGAUUGAAUAUAACAUUUUGAGAUAUUUAGAAAGCAAGUUCGUAGCCGACGAUACAUGUAGUAAUAAUUGUGUCUAUAUGCAACACUAUCCACCUAAGAACGAGGUUAUUUUUUGGGUCUGGUGGCGUGGGGUCAAUGGCAUUUGCUGCAUAUGAUAUGGACUGAGCUACACAAAUCGUAGGGAUGACCGCACAGACACAUGGGGAUCGGGAAUUUUAAAUUCAAGCGAGACUCACCUCGGCCAUGAGAGCACGGUCAGCCAUUGUGUCAACCUCUAUGAUCGUUUGGCUUAAUUCUUGCAUAUUAGGCCAAUACUUAGAAAAGUUGUCUUUGAUUUUCACAUUUAAAUAGGGGAUGUUUAUUUGCAAUUCUCGAUUUGUAAUAUGUAUUCCCUCAUCAUUUGGUUAAAAUUUUAGAUUUCCAAUGUGUCAGUAUAUCUGUUGUUUGGUGUGCUAGCCAAGAUUUAGUAUUGUUGAAUGAGAUUGUAUUGUUUCCAUUUUCUACUUGAUGUUUAUUGUGUUCUGGGUAUCACUAUUAGGUAGAAGCCAUUAUUCACCUGCAUUGUUUCUCUAUUUUAAUGUAGUAUUCAUACUACAUUAUUUCUUUAUUUUUACCUUUAUUAAGUCCUGC